RNAcentral lists this ribosomal RNA (405 nucleotides) under Providencia alcalifaciens. Its description in RNAcentral is "bacterial SSU rRNA". It matches the Rfam family "Bacterial small subunit ribosomal RNA", at positions 340 to 737 of the family's 1533-position model. The record is from RNAcentral. Lineage: Bacteria; Pseudomonadati; Pseudomonadota; Gammaproteobacteria; Enterobacterales; Morganellaceae.
UACGGGGGGCNGCAGUGGGGAAUAUUGCACAAUGGGCGCAAGCCUGAUGCAGCCAUGCCGCGUGUAUGAAGAAGGCCUUAGGGUUGUAAAGUACUUUCAGUUGGGAGGAAGGCGUUGAUGCUAAUAUCAUCAACGAUUGACGUUACCAACAGAAGAAGCACCGGCUAACUCCGUGCCAGCAGCCGCGGUAAUACGGAGGGUGCAAGCGUUAAUCGGAAUUACUGGGCGUAAAGCGCACGCAGGCGGUUGAUUAAGUUAGAUGUGAAAUCCCCGGGCUUAACCUGGGAAUGGCAUCUAAGACUGGUCAGCUAGAGUCUUGUAGAGGGGGGUAGAAUUCCAAGUGUAGCGGUGAAAUGCGUAGAGAUGUGGAGGAAUACCGGUGGCGAAGGCGGCCCCCUGGACAAA